UACGGAGGGUGCAAGCGUUAUCCGGAUUCACUGGGUUUAAAGGGUGCGUAGGUGGGUUGGUAAGUCAGUGGUGAAAUCUCCGUGCUUUAACAUGGAAACUGCCAUUGAUACUACUGAUCUUGAAUUUUUCAGGAGGUAAGCGGAAAUAUGUCAUGUAGCGGUGAAAAUGCUUAGAUAUGACAUAGAAACACCAAAUUUGCGAAAGGCAGCUUACUACAGGGAAUAUUGACACUGAUGCACGAAAGCGUGGGGAUCAAACAGGGA
Molecule: ribosomal RNA, 264 nt
Filed under: uncultured bacterium
Lineage: Bacteria
Description: partial 16S ribosomal RNA
Rfam family: Bacterial small subunit ribosomal RNA
Source: RNAcentral